RNAcentral lists this ribosomal RNA (507 nucleotides) under uncultured Tepidimicrobium sp. RNAcentral's name for it is "bacterial SSU rRNA". It matches the Rfam family "Bacterial small subunit ribosomal RNA", at positions 1 to 507 of the family's 1533-position model. The record is from RNAcentral. Lineage: Bacteria; Bacillati; Bacillota; Tissierellia; Tissierellales; Tepidimicrobiaceae.
GUAGGUUUGUACUCCGUGGCUCGAAGGACACGCUGGCGGCGUGCCUAACACAUGCAAGUCGAGCGAAGUGCUUUAAGUGGAACCUUUCGGGGUGAAACUUGAAGCACUUAGCGGCGGACGGGUGAGUAACGCGUGAGGAACCUACCUCCCACAAGGGGAUAGCCUCGGGAAACCGGGAUUAAUACCCUAUGACACUUAGGUGUCGCAUGACACCUAGGUUAAAGCGCUUUAGCGUGGGAGAUGGCCUCACGUCCCAUUAGCUAGUUGGUGAGGUAACGGCUCACCAAGGCGACGAUGGGUAGCCGGCCUGAGAGGGUGACCGGCCACACUGGGACUGAGACACGGCCCAGACUCCUACGGGAGGGCAGCAGUGGGGAAGUAUUGCACAAUGGGCGAAAGCCUGAUGCAGCGACGCCGCGUGAGCGAAGAAGGCCUUCGGGUCGUAAAGCUCUGUCCUAUGGGACGAUAAUGACGGUACCAUAGGAGGAAGCCCCGGCUAACUACGUG